RNAcentral lists this ribosomal RNA (497 nucleotides) under uncultured bacterium. RNAcentral's name for it is "partial 16S ribosomal RNA". It matches the Rfam family "Bacterial small subunit ribosomal RNA", at positions 899 to 1397 of the family's 1533-position model. The record is from RNAcentral.
ACUCAAAGGAAUUGACGGGGGCCCGCACAAGCGGUGGAGCAUGUGGUUUAAUUCGAUGCUACGCGAAGAACCUUACCUAGAUUUGACAUCCCUUGACCGCGGUAGAAGUACCGCUUCCCCUUCGGGGGCAAGGAGACAGGUGCUGCAUGGCUGUCGUCAGCUCGUAUCGUGAGAUGUCGGGUUAAGUCCCUUAACGAGCGCAACCCUUAUCCCUAGUUGCCAUCAUUCAGUUGGGCACUCUAUGGAGACUGCCGGUGUUAAACCGGAGGAAGGUGGGGAUGACGUCAAGUCCUCAUGGCCUUUAUAUCUAGGGCUACACACGUGCUACAAUGGCCGGUACAGAGGGUUGCCAACCCGCAAGGGGGAGCUAAUCUCAGAAAGCCGGUCUCAGUUCGGAUUGGAGUCUGCAACUCGACUCCAUGAAGCUGGAAUCGCUAGUAAUCGCGGAUCAGAACGCCGCGGUGAAUACGUUCCCGGGCCUUGUACACACCGCCCGU